CUGACCCGAAACUCACUUUCCCAACAAUUCAUUAUUUUACCCUCAACCCCAGUGCUUUAGUAUCUCAAUGAACUUUUCGUUGCCGCUGCUCAUCACGCUCUUGUAAUCAUGGCUAUAUCGUAGUAAAACGAAGCGUGUUAGACAGUUCACUUGUAAAACGGAUUCGGUGUUCUACGGAGGCGAAUAGAAAGUAUUGCCGCAGCGCCUGUUUAAAAACUCAAGCAGUUACUACAUCUGCUGAAUUUCCGGUCAAUCGAAAAGAAUUUUCAUAUUCCGGUUUAUUAAUUAAACGAAUAACAACAACAGCCAAAAUGGUU
This is a long non-coding RNA of Rhagoletis zephyria (snowberry fruit fly), 317 nucleotides long. RefSeq lists it as uncharacterized. The record is from RefSeq and is a predicted model, not a curated record. NCBI's taxonomy places the organism in Eukaryota, Metazoa, Arthropoda, Insecta, Diptera, Tephritidae.